AUUGACUGUGAUGAGCCCAAUACAGACCUGUAAUGAUUUGCGAAAAUGAUCGCAUAUUAUGAACAUCUAAGGGACUGAGUUAAUUUAUGUUUUAAUAUUUUUUUAACGUUUUUCGUGGCUUCUUUAAAUUUGAAUGUCGAUUUGGUAAAAUUGUUCCAAGUUUGUAUGAAUUGAAGCCUAGAAAAAAUGUUCCCCUCGCUAUCCGGUGCAACGUUUGAUGUUGUAUUUGGACGUUGGGAAACUACACCU
Molecule: long non-coding RNA, 249 nt
Filed under: Helianthus annuus (common sunflower)
Lineage: Eukaryota; Viridiplantae; Streptophyta; Magnoliopsida; Asterales; Asteraceae
Description: hypothetical non coding rna
Rfam family: Small nucleolar RNA snoR136 (bases 115-249)
Source: RNAcentral